RNAcentral lists this ribosomal RNA (297 nucleotides) under uncultured Glomeromycotina. RNAcentral describes it as "partial small subunit ribosomal RNA". It matches the Rfam family "Eukaryotic small subunit ribosomal RNA", at positions 548 to 850 of the family's 1831-position model. The record is from RNAcentral. Lineage: Eukaryota; Fungi; Glomeromycota.
UUGGAGGGCAAGUCUGGUGCCAGCAGCCGCGGUAAUUCCAGCUCCAAUAGCGUAUAUUUAAGUUGUUGCAGUUAAAAAGCUCGUAGUUGAAUUUCGGGGUCAGUAGGUUGGUCGUGCCACUGGUAUGUACUGGUCUUACUGAUUCCUCCUUCCUGAUGAACCGUAAUGCCAUUAAUUUGGUGUUGCGGGGAAACUGGACUGUUACUUUGAAAAAAUUAGAGUGUUUAAAGCAGGCUAACGCUUGAAUACAUUAGCAUGGAAUAAUGAAAUAGGACGAUCGAUCCUAUUUUGUUGGUU